RNAcentral lists this ribosomal RNA (568 nucleotides) under uncultured bacterium. RNAcentral's name for it is "partial 16S ribosomal RNA". It matches the Rfam family "Bacterial small subunit ribosomal RNA", at positions 355 to 914 of the family's 1533-position model. The record is from RNAcentral.
UGGGGAAUUUUGGACAAUGGGCGAAGCCUGAUCCAGCAAUGCCGCGUGUGUGAAGAAGGCCUUCGGGUUGUAAAGCACUUUUGUCCGGAAAGAAAUCCUUGGCUCUAAUACAGUCGGGGGAUGACGGUACCGGAAGAAUAAGCACCGGCUAACUACGUGCCAGCAGCCGCGGUAAUACGUAGGGUGCAAGCGUUAAUCGGAAUUACUGGGCGUAAAGCGUGCGCAGGCGGUUUGCUAAGACCGAUGUGAAAUCCCCGGGCUCAACCUGGGAACUGCAUUGGUGACUGGCAGGCUAGAGUAUGGCAGAGGGGGGUAGAAUUCCACGUGUAGCAGUGAAAUGCGUAGAGAUGUGGAGGAAUACCGAUGGCGAAGGCAGCCCCCUGGGCAAUACUGACGCUCAUGCACGAAAGCGUGGGGAGCAAACAGGAUUAGAUACCCUGGUAGUCCACGCCCUAAAACGAUGUCAACUAGUUGUUGGGGAUUCAUUUUCCUUAGGUAACGUAGCUAACGCGUGAAGUUGACCGCCUGGGGAGUAACGGUCGCAAGAUUAAAACUCAAAUGAAUUGAC